UACAGAGGUGGCAAGCGUUGUUCGGAAUUACUGGGCGUAAAGCGCGUGUAGGCGGCUCUUCAAGUCAGGCGUGAAAGCCCCGGGCUCAACUCGGGAACUGCGCUCGAUACUGUCGAGCUAGAGUGUGGAAGGGGCGAUUGGAAUUCCGUGUGUAGCGGUGAAAUGCGUAGAUAUACGGAGGAACACCAGAGGCGAAGGCGGAUCGCCGGGCCAACACUGACGCUGAGACGCGAAAGCUAGGGUAGCAAACGGG
Molecule: ribosomal RNA, 253 nt
Filed under: uncultured bacterium
Lineage: Bacteria
Description: partial 16S ribosomal RNA
Rfam family: Bacterial small subunit ribosomal RNA
Source: RNAcentral